This is a long non-coding RNA of Ctenopharyngodon idella (grass carp), 3107 nucleotides long. RefSeq lists it as uncharacterized. The transcript has 4 exons. The record is from RefSeq and is a predicted model, not a curated record. Lineage: Eukaryota; Metazoa; Chordata; Actinopteri; Cypriniformes; Xenocyprididae.
UGUGCAGUAGUCUGAAUAUACGGUGAGCACAGAUGAGUGUCAGCAGAUCUUCUGUCAGAGUGAGAAGUGAUUGUGUGACUGAAGCAGCUUCUUCUCUCUUCUGCUGGAUUAUUGGGCUCUUCUGGACUCUAGAGAAAUGAAGCUCAUCUUUGGACUGAUGCUGCUGAAAACUGCUGCAUGUCUGGAGUUUAACUGUAGUUUUUAUCAGUCAGAUCUCUGUUUCGCAGCUCUGGGACACAAACUCAAUCUGCUGAUGGUGGACGCUAGUAGAUAUGAUCUGAAGAUACAAAAAAGAAUAAACCACAACUCAGAUGAUCCAGUUUGUAGAGUAAAGAAUGACAAGAUUAAAGAGAUUGAAUGUGACCUUUUUAAUAACAGAUCUGAAGUGUCAGUCAUUAAUGGGACUCUGAUAAUAAACUGUGUGAUCAGAGCAGAUUCAGGGACUUACAGGUUAUAUCUCGAAGACUCAGACGGCACAGAAACAUCUAGAGAUCUUCAAGUGAUUGUUGAAGAGAGGUCAGUGUCUGUGGUGUUUGUGCUGCUCUGGUGUUUUCAGCUGAUGUUUCUGUUGGGUCUGUUAGGAGGUUUUCACAUCUACAUGAGACACACGUCAGGAAAGAAACAGGAAGAUCAACAAGUGAGAAUGAGAAGAUUUAGAGAAGGACAUGAACACACAGCAGAAGAUUGAUGAGACCAGCAGCAGAUCUCAUCACAUCUAUGAGAAAUCACUUCAGAACGUCCAAGACUUUCACAUCCAUCCAACAUUAAUUUUACACAUCUGGAGUCAUUCGGUCUUUUACUUCAGUCUGUUGGCUUUGGUUGAUUUCAUUUACAGUGCCUGUUUAGAUGUUUAACUGUUCAAAACUGUUCCCAUAGAUUACUUUUGAGUGUUUUGACACAUUCCUGCAUUUUUCUUCACGAGAUAUUUGUCAUUAUAACAGAACCGCCCUGAGCGAGUUCACAGCGAGUUGUACAGUCCACCAUUGCUGCACUGACAAGAAUGACUCCCAAGCGUUUUAGAUGUUCUGUAGCUGGAUGGAUUAAUCCACAUAGCUCUCUCCAUUUACUGCCUAAAUCUGAGCCACUGAAGACGAGGUGGAUUCAUUUUGUUUUUGAAGAAAAUGCUCCCUGAACUCUACUGAAAUUCGUUUAUGUCUGCACGAAUCAUUUCACACCGGACUUUGUGAACGAAUGUCAAUACAAAGGGACAAUACAAAACAGAGGUUGUGCUAAAAAGUUGUUACUCAAGGAUAGAUCAGUAAACUGUUGGUGAUCCAGCUUACAGUCUCCAGAGUGAUACUGGAUACGGCAGUAAUGAAGGUGAGAGCACUUUAUUACAGUUCAUCGGAGUUGAUUUACGGAUAUAAAGUUUACCAGUUUAUUAAACACCACCCGAAAAGACAUAAGGUCUUUAUAUAUUUGUUUACUGUUAGUUGUAACGAGUGUUUCUGUGUAAUUCGCUGUGUAUGUUGAUGAUAAUGCAAGGGAGACAGAGAGAAAGUUUAUGGAUAAUAUUUUAAUGCACACUUGCACUGUGUUUUAUUAAGCUCUUACAGAGAUUUUCUAGAGUGAAAACGGAUGCUUCAUAUUUUGAGUGAAGUACAAUAAACGUCAUAACACUCCAUCAUUUUGGCCAUCAUUCGGACGGGGUCCGGUACAGCAGGCUUGUGCUAAUAUAGUGGAUAAAAACAAGAAGACAAUAUAAGUUAUAACUGUAAUUAAACUAAACUAUACCUGUUCUAUCUCCAUGCAGCAUAUAUUCGCAGUUUCUGACAUUAUAGCGCAUCCUGACUGAAUCCUGACACUGGAGAAUCAGCUCUUGAAGCUCCGCCCUCUUAGGCCGAGCGCAGCAGCUCAUUUGCAUUUAAAGGGCACACGCUGAAACGGUGCGUAUUUGCUCACCCCCAGAAAGUGGCAAUAGGUUGUUUGCAAUCACGUGGUUCUGGUGACGCGCAAAAUACCGGUGGAGGGCAAGCAGUGAACCUAGCAGGGGACAUCAGAGACUUAUUUUACAUCUUGUUCAAUGGGGCAUAAUAGGUGCACUUUAAAGGAUUAGUUCACUUUCAAAUAAAAAUUAGCCCACAAUUUACUGUGCCAUCUGUGUCGCCCAGUCCCAUCUGCUCUCCAUUGGCCUCAUCUCCAUCAGUCACCCCCCUGGUGUCAUCAGCCAAAACUCCACCAUGGCUCCUCCCUCCAUCGACUCCUCACGUGGGCUUUCAUCCUGGCUGCACUAUGGAUUUUCACCUGGCUCCACCUACCAUCAUCGCCACCCUGGUUUCUUCUGCCGGAGCCUCUUCCUUCAUCAUCCCCUCAUCCACCUCCAGAGCCCCCACCCAACUUUCCUCCUUGGACUUUACUGCAGGAGGGGUAGUUAUGUCACAAUUAUGCUUAGCUUAAUCUGUUUUGGUUUUGUUUUCAAGGACUUUUAGUUUGCUUAUCUUUGUUUCCUGUUUCCUUAUUCUUAUGUUCCCGUUUGUCAUUUGUUUCCAUGGUUAUUCAUUACAUGACUAAUUAGCGCACACCUGUUUGUAUUUGAGUCUGUUAUCUUUUGUAUAUUUUGCCCUCUGUUUGUUCAGUUCAUUGUCUGGUAUUGUUUGUGCUUAUGUAACCCCUCUGGUCAGGUUUACAUGCAGUCGUUACACCUCCGCAUGCUUAAAUAAACCUAACUGCUAUUUUUGAACCCCAGGCUUAUCUUCAUCACCUUUGGACUUGAUGUGACAGACGUCAGUUAACUUCCUCCUUUCUGAAAAGCAGUGUAUAUGUACUUCCUUUUUACCUUCACACCAGAAACGUCUGUGGAAAAUGCAAGAACUCGAGCUUGAAAUAAUGUCUCUGUAAAUUUUCUGUCUCUGACGUAGAAGAUAUAUUUAGCUGAGCUGUCUUUGUUCAAAUCAAGAUAGCAUUUCAUUCUGCUUUGGGUUUGUUCUCUCCAGUGAUCCAUCUAUAUAAUCUCUCUUUAUAGAUUCAUAAUUUACUUAUUCUUAUAAGUGGUUGUGGUGUAUUGAUUUUGAGAGUGUUGUUUGUGAUCUGUGAUGUUUCAUCUGACUCACAGAACAUGUUUAUCCAUUAACAGCCUCUUCUGUAUUAUCAGCUCAAGGAAGACAUGA